Molecule: unclassified non-coding RNA, 148 nt
Filed under: uncultured Venturiaceae
Lineage: Eukaryota; Fungi; Ascomycota; Dothideomycetes; Venturiales; Venturiaceae
Description: sequence contains ITS2
Source: RNAcentral
CAAACCUCAAGCCUUGCUUGGUGAUGGGCCCCGCCUGCACGGCGGGCCUGAAACUCGUGGGCGCCCCUUACCGGACUCCAAGCGUAGCAAAACCCUCGCUUGUGGACGAUCGGUGGGAGGCCGCCCCGGACCCCAAAUUUUUAUCAAU